This 497-nucleotide ribosomal RNA is filed under the name uncultured bacterium. Its description in RNAcentral is "partial 16S ribosomal RNA". It matches the Rfam family "Bacterial small subunit ribosomal RNA", at positions 28 to 507 of the family's 1533-position model. The record is from RNAcentral.
GAUGAACGCUGGCGGCGUGCCUAAUACAUGCAAGUCGAGCGAACGGACGAGAAGCUUGCUUCUCUGAUGUUAGCGGCGGACGGGUGAGUAACACGUGGAUAACCUACCUAUAAGACUGGGAUAACUUCGGGAAACCGCAGCUAAUACCGGAUAAUAUUUUGAACCGCAUGGUUCAAAAGUGAAAGACGGUCUUGCUGUCACUUAUAGAUGGAUCCGCGCUGCAUUAGCUAGUUGGUAAGGUAACGGCUUACCAAGGCAACGAUGCAUAGCCGACCUGAGAGGGUGAUCGGCCACACUGGAACUGAGACACGGUCCAGACUCCUACGGGAGGCAGCAGUAGGGAAUAUUCCGCAAUGGGCGAAAGCCUGACGGAGCAACGCCGCGUGAGUGAUGAAGGUCUUCGGAUCGUAAAACUCUGUUAUUAGGGAAGAACAUAUGUGUAAGUAACUGUGCACAUCUUGACGGUACCUAAUCAGAAAGCCACGGCUAACUACGUG